CCUUAAACGAAAAUCAUUCACCUACACUCAGAUCUACAUCCUCCACUCCCCAAAUAUAGAGAUUAGUUUUAUCUUCUCCGAUUUCAGUGAAGUUCUGGGUGCUUGGAAAAGCUAAGAAAGUUGUCUCACAGGUUCAAGGUAUGAAAUCAUUUUUUUCUCAUAUCUGUUCGCGAAGAGUUUCAGAAGACUUUGCUAGAUGUGUUCUCCGUCAAGAAGACUUCCGUAGAAAUCUUCUAAUUUUCCUUUUAUUAAGAAAAAACCAAAAAAUCUCAGAAAAGACUACUCGAAAAGUCUUCUCAGAUAAACAUGUUAGUUUUGCAAUUGACCGAUGUUUGUCAGAAAUUUGACUUCUUAUAGAAGACUUCUCGAAAAAUUUUCUUGGAGAAAACUUCUAUAGAAGUCUUCUGAAAAAAAUUGACCAAAACUUACAAAAUUAAUAUGAAAAACACUGAAAUCACA
Molecule: long non-coding RNA, 459 nt
Organism: Brassica rapa (field mustard)
Lineage: Eukaryota; Viridiplantae; Streptophyta; Magnoliopsida; Brassicales; Brassicaceae
Source: RefSeq, a predicted model, not a curated record